RNAcentral lists this ribosomal RNA (533 nucleotides) under uncultured archaeon. Its description in RNAcentral is "bacterial SSU rRNA". It matches the Rfam family "Archaeal small subunit ribosomal RNA", at positions 345 to 879 of the family's 1478-position model. The record is from RNAcentral.
AACCUUUGCAAUGUGCGCAAGCACGACAAGGUUAAUCCGAGUGAUUCCUGCUAAAGGAAUCUUUUGUUAGUCGUAAAACCACUAUUGAAUAAGGGGUGGGCAAGUUCUGGUGUCAGCCGCCGCGGUAAAACCAGCACCUCAAGUGGUCAGGAUGAUUAUUGGGCCUAAAGCAUCCGUAGCCUGUUCUGUAAGUUUCCGGUUAAAUCCAUUAACUCAACUAAUGGGCUGCCGAAAAUACUGCAGAACUAGGGAGUGGGAGAGGUAGACGGUACUCGGUAGGAAGGGGUAAAAUCCUUUGAUCUAUUGAUGACCACCUGUGGCGAAGGCGGUCUACCAGAACACGUUCGACGGUGAGGGAUGAAAGCUGGGGGAGCAAACCGGAUUAGAUACCCGGGUAGUCCCAGCUGUAAACGAUGCAAACUCGGUGAUGCCCUGGCUUGUGGCCAGUGCAGUGCCGCAGGGAAGCCGUUAAGUUUGCCGCCUGGGAAGUACGUACGCAAGUAUGAAACUUAAAGGAAUUGGCGGGGGAGCAC